This is a non-coding RNA of Phascolarctos cinereus (koala), 374 nucleotides long. NCBI's taxonomy places the organism in Eukaryota, Metazoa, Chordata, Mammalia, Diprotodontia, Phascolarctidae. The record is from RefSeq and is a predicted model, not a curated record.
GGAAGCCAGGAAUCACCUAUCUACAGCUUCCCCAGAACCAUGGCUACAUUGAAAUGUUAAAGAACUUCGUUCCCAUCCAUCCACAUGCCCACUAGCAAGCUGACUGCAACCGGGAAUUCAUCUUUAUGAGGGUUCUUCCCUCAACUCCAUCAUGAUGUGAGCCACGAGGCUGCCUUCUCUCAUCCCAACCUGCUAAAACUAUGUCAAAUGCUGAAGAAGCUGCCCUACAACCAGCACCAUUUUGAGGUCCACUUAAGGACAAAAUAAGGCAGAAUCCAGGAGGUAGAGAUGAAGAGGAACAGUAUUCCAGGCAUGAGAGUCACCCUACCAACAUAUUCCCUCCCCUCCAUGACCCUGAAAUGUGACUCUUUACA